CUACUUGAUUCUCCGAUU
This 18-nucleotide small nuclear RNA is filed under the name Arabidopsis thaliana (thale cress). RNAcentral's name for it is "snRNA_02107". Lineage: Eukaryota; Viridiplantae; Streptophyta; Magnoliopsida; Brassicales; Brassicaceae. The record is from RNAcentral.